This 2638-nucleotide long non-coding RNA is filed under the name Volvox carteri. RNAcentral describes it as "long non-coding RNA (VCAR_LNC000170)". The record is from RNAcentral. Lineage: Eukaryota; Viridiplantae; Chlorophyta; Chlorophyceae; Chlamydomonadales; Volvocaceae.
ACCUACGUCCUUUUGGCGCUCUCACCGCCAUCUCCCCCCUCCCCUGUCCGAGCGACCCCACCUCCCCCCGGCUCUCCAGCCCCCUACAACCUCGGAGCGGCACUAGGGAAGAAAAAGGGUUCUUCCCUGCACGACGUGACCGCCUCCAUUCCCCGUCCUACUCCUCUCCCUCUCCCGCCUCGGGGUUCCCUCUCACCUAUUCCCUCGUCCUCCAACCCCCAUCCCCUUCGAACUCCUAUACCCCCCCGAGCCCUGCCCUACAAACUCAGCUCAAAGCGCUCUUAGGCAAUAAUUUCCACCGCUUCGGCGCACCGCAGUGCGCCUUCUGAAACCGACAGGAUCGGGUGGUCGGGUCCCACCCUGUCCCAGCCUCUCCGCGGGGUGCCCAGCGCCGUGAAGGAGCGCAGACGCGCCCAGAAGUCCACCACUGCCCGGGCGCAGGCCCGCUCCAAGGGGGUUGCUGCGGGUGCUGCUGCCGCCGCGCCUGCCGUUGCUGCUACCGCCCCUGUCGCCGUGUUCCGCUCCUGCGUUUGGUCCUCAUCCCCCGGCGCGUUCAGUGCAGGCCCCGUCUGCGGUCCUGCCCCGUCGGCCUGGAUGAAAAAGUCCGUUAUCCGCCUCUGCCUGGGGCCGGGUACCUGUACCUGCUGCGCGUGCUCCCGGUUCUGUGGUCCUUGGCUCCCAGCUCGUUCCUGCCUCCUGCCCGCUGCCCUCAGGCAGCAUCUGCCAACCUCCAUGGCAGACAGGGCCGACAGGGCGAUUAUAUCCCAUACGGCCUGUUCGCAUCCGGUUGGGGCCAGUAAUAGCCAGAGUUGCUUUCGGGUGACUCCCCCUACUGCCGCUUCCUGAGAAGACUGUAGAUGCCGGUCGAUCUGUGCCCGCACCGCCUGCGCCACCGGGCAUUCCCAAAAGUGAUGCAUGCGUGGCGAGCAUGGCUGACCAGCUGCUCCACCGAAUCCGCCACAUCCACAGCGUUCUGGAGUCAUGCGGGCUAGGUGCGUGUUGCCCGGUAGGGGGACGCCAUCCACUGCGAGCCGCCAUAACGUCUCCUUAUUCUCAUUCUCCCAUCGUACCCCGGACCACACUCGGGCCUGCGUCGCCCUGAAUAGGCUGAUUUCCGAGGGGGGCGGCGGCGACGGGCCCUGAGGAUCCGUCGCCUCCCGCACAAAUUCAGCUACCAGGCNNNNNNNNNNNNNNNNNNNNNNNNNNNNNNNNNNNNNNNNNNNNNNNNNNCCCGGGGGCAAUGGUCGCGCCUUACCAGUAGUGCCAAACCCUAUAUGUAUGUAUGUAUGUACGUAUGUAUGUAUGUAUGACUUAGAUUACACUGUGGGCCGCGAGAGCCGGGGGCCGAAGCCGAAACACAGCGCAAGGGUCGGGAGCACACAGCACAAGUCGGUUAGUCUUGUGUGCUCCCGACCCCGACUCAGACUGCCAACACUCUACGCAGCCACUCCGCAGCCACCCCAUCUGGGGAUGGCGCUGCAGUGAAAACACCACGAAGGGCUCUCAGGUCCCGCUAGAGCGAGUCCACAAGUCUCAGCUAGGGCAAAGUCAAAGGCUCUCUGAAACAACCCCCCCAAACACCACCAACGAAAACGGGAUUCGAAGGGAAAACAAACAAACAAACAAACACAAAUUCGGUUGGGGCAGUCCCGGCAGGGGAGGGCUCCUGAUAUACCUAACAGGCCAACAAAAAACCUCCAAUAGAGAAAGGCUAAGAGAGCUCGACACCACAAGACGUCUUGCAACCACCUUAAAACAACUGACCUCCACCACCUGUCCCUUCCUGGGCUGGUCCAGGGGAGAAGUAGCCUUAUAAAGAAAAGGGAUCCCGCACAAGCCUGAUCACCACUGCAGGGGCCCGGGAUAGUCCGGCGAAACGACCAAAGCGUUAGCGUUGCCACGACACACAGCUCCUAGACCCUCCAGAAAACCGCAGGGGGAGGAUUGUAGCCCGCGUGGCGCCUCCCCUUUACCGCCACUAACCUGAACGGUUGGUCCUCCAGAAACCUAUUCACCCUGUCUCGUACUGCACCGCUCUCACCUUCGUCCCUCACCAAGCAACCCAGUCCCACAGAGAAGACGUGUCUAGAUAGAAUGGCCCUCCUCGGGCCACACCUCCCCCUCAUCCGAGCCCCGCUACCACCACCAGACCUCAACCUCCCAAACACCAGAAAACCUACGUCCUUUUGGCGCUCUCACCGCCAUCUCCCCCCUCCCCUGUCCGAGCGACCCCACCUCCCCCCGGCUCUCCAGCCCCCUACAACCUCGGAGCGGCACUAGGGAAGAAAAAGGGUUCUUCCCUGCACGACGUGACCGCCUCCAUUCCCCGUCCUACUCCUCUCCCUCUCCCGCCUCGGGGUUCCCUCUCACCUAUUCCCUCGUCCUCCAACCCCCAUCCCCUUCGAACUCCUAUACCCCCCCGAGCCCUGCCCUACAAACUCAGCUCAAAGCGCUCUUAGGCAAUAAUUUCCACCGCUUCGGCGCACCGCAGUGCGCCUUCUGAAACCGACAGGAUCGGGUGGUCGGGUCCCACCCUGUCCCAGCCUCUCCGCGGGGUGCCCAGCGCCGUGAAGGAGCGCAGACGCGCCCAGAAGUCCACCACUGCCCGGGCGCAGGCCCGCUCCAAGGGGGUUGCUGC